Long non-coding RNA from Pungitius pungitius (ninespine stickleback), 1343 nucleotides. RefSeq lists it as uncharacterized. The transcript is spliced from 3 exons. The record is from RefSeq and is a predicted model, not a curated record. Lineage: Eukaryota; Metazoa; Chordata; Actinopteri; Perciformes; Gasterosteidae.
ACUUGCAGUUGUUAGUUUGUGGGGCCAUGUAACAGGGAGAACACCAAUCUUGUGGGGCCCAGCAACCUUGUGGGGCCCAAAAUGAGGGACCCCACUAGAAUGAUCAUCAUAUAUGGGCUCACAAGCCUCCCCUGACAUGCCUGUCGCUUUUUUAGCACAUGUCUCACAAAGUCAGAAAGUAUGGAAAAGUGUGUGUGAUGUGUGUGUGGAUUUUUUACUCACUAGUGCCCCAAGUGUUGGAAAGGUGGUAUAACAUCACACACACACACUUCCUGGUGUGUGUAAGGGUUCAGCCAAUGAGGGGCCACUAUGAAAUCUCGCGAGAUUUUUCGUGAAGUCAUUAGCGAUAUCUCAUGUCUCAGCAUACCAAAGCCAUGCAGUGUUGGCUGCUCAACUGGGAACUUUGCAGAGAAUAAGGUGACAAACUAUGAGGCCCCUGCUGUGGCUAUAGAGACAGAAGACACCCUUUCAAAUCUGUCUUCCCAUGAGGAAUCCAAUGGAGAGGAAGCCAUAGCCCAGGUAAACAAACUGCUAUCAAAAGAACCUGGACACCCGAGGAAGCGGCAGCGGUGAACCGGCAUCUACGGAGAUGCAUUACCAUGAACAGUGUUCCAGGCAAAGAGGAGUGUCAACAGUGCAUUAAUGCAGACCCUGAAGCUCUCCGAAUGCGAGACUGGAAGGCAUAUAGAAUCACUACUUUGAGACGAAAGUAUAAGUGUGAACUUGCUGAUGCACCGUCAUAUUGACAGUGUUAACAGUCUCUUCUUGUGAGGCCUCUUUGUAGGCAAUGAUAAAGUUAAUCUUGUCCCAGUGACUUUUAUUUCUGAACACUGAACAAUUGUCCAAUGAGUAACUGAAACUAUUCCGCGCCCCCACAAUCAAACGCCCGCAUGGGGAGAUUUUAGCUUUUACUUUACUAAGUUAAUAAAGACAAGAGAACAUAUUAUGUGUUAAGGAGUUUAUUUUAUGCAAUGUCGUUUGAGAAAUGGUACUAGGAAAGCGUUGAGUAGUGUUGAGCUGGAGUUCAUUAUAUUAAUGAAAUUUAAUGCCCCAUAUACCUUAUGAUGAUCUUUGGUUACAAUGACAUCGAGCCCUACAAUGUCUUUGAUAAGCAACAAAAAAUAUGUAAACAUGUUAUUUCCAUCAGAAGACAUUGUGUCUUGCGAAGAUACAAAGUCUAGAAAUGGUUGUCUUGCUAAGAUAUUAAAACUAGGAUUGUGUAUGUGUGUGUGAAAGAGGGACUCGCAAGUUUUGAAUGUUAGAAACAGAACCCCACAAAGUGACAAAAAAACUAGCAAGAGAAAAAAAGUUCUGAAUUUUAACAAAUUAAAGUGAUGGUAAUU